AAGCUCGUAGUUGAAUUUCGGGGUUAGUAGGUUGGUCAUGCCUCUGGUAUGUACUGGUCUCACUGAUUCCUCCUUCCUUAUGAACCGUAAUGCCAUUAAUUUGGUGUUGCGGGGAAUUUGGACUGUUACUUUGAAAAAAUUAGAGUGUUUGAAGCAAGCUAACGCUUGAAUACAUUAGCAUGGAAUAAUGAAAUAGGACGUUCGAUCCUAUUUUGUUGGUUUCUAGGAUUGACGUAAUGAUUAAUAGGGAUAGUUGGGGGCAUUAGUAUUCAAUUGUCAGAGGUGAAAUUCUUGGAUUUAUUGAAGACUAACUGCUGCGAAAGCAUUUGCCAAGGAUGUUUUCAUUAAUCAAGAACGAAAGUUAGGGGAUCGAAGACGAUCAGAUACCGUCGUAGUCUUAACCAUAAACUAUGCCGACUAGGGAUCGGAUGAUGUUAAUUUUUUAAUGACUCAUUCGGCGCCUUACGGGAAACCAAAGUGUUUGGGUUCCGGGGGGAGUAUGGUCGCAAGGCUGAAACUUAAAGGAAUUGACGGAAGGGCACCACCAGGGGUGGAGCCUGCGGCUUAAUUUGACUCAACACGGGGAAA
This 588-nucleotide ribosomal RNA is filed under the name uncultured Glomus. RNAcentral describes it as "SSU rRNA". It matches the Rfam family "Eukaryotic small subunit ribosomal RNA", at positions 624 to 1213 of the family's 1831-position model. The record is from RNAcentral. Lineage: Eukaryota; Fungi; Glomeromycota; Glomeromycetes; Glomerales; Glomeraceae.